This 253-nucleotide ribosomal RNA is filed under the name uncultured bacterium. RNAcentral describes it as "partial 16S ribosomal RNA". It matches the Rfam family "Bacterial small subunit ribosomal RNA", at positions 524 to 776 of the family's 1533-position model. The record is from RNAcentral.
UACGUAGGGAGCAAGCGUUGUCCGGAAUCAUUGGGCGUAAAGCGCGCGUAGGCGGCCCGAUAAGUCCGCUGUGAAAGUCAACGGCUCAACUGUUGGAUGCCGGUGGAUACUGUCGGGCUAGAGUACGGAAGAGGCAAGUGGAAUUCCUGGUGUAGCGGUGAAAUGCGCAGAUAUCGGGAGGAACACCAGUAGCGAAGGCGGCACUCUGGGCCGGUACUGACGCUGAGGAGCGAAAGCGUGGGGAGCGAACAGG